CUUUGAAUCAAACCACCAGCCUUUUGUAGAAUCUUGCAUAUCUUGUUAUUCCAAACAUAACCUUUCAAACUGGUGUAUGUAAACAAGCUGUACAAUUACAAACUAACCUGUUGCUGUCGUUAGUAGAGAGAGAAAAGUAGCCACCUUUCAGCUGUUUUCUCUUUCACGAGAGCCUAUAAUUCCCCCACUCUAAUAUCAUACCUCUAUGGUCGCGGCAGCCAUUUUGUGGCUCGCGGUCCGAUCGUCAGAUGUCAACAAAGCAAAAGAUCGCGGAACGCCGACGAGUUCGGACAAGAUUCGGUAAGCGGAUUGAGCGUCUUGUUUGUUGAUGUCGAGUUUCAAUGAUCAACGUUACAACGCUUUAGAAAUAACAAAAUCGAGUAGUGACGGUAAAAAUUCGGAUUCUUAAAGCAUUUCCACGUGCGUGAAACAAAAGUUUUAGAAGUUGGUGAUAAUUUUACAGUGAAGCAGUGAAAACACUGAGCCGCCUCGUGACUUCGACGCUGAUCGAUGUGUCCCGAUUUGACGACAGAUGCAGCAAGAGAAGCUGCUUUGGUGAAAAUUCGGCGUAGCUGCGACUGUCAAAGUGAAAAGUGGGCCGACAUCUUGAUGAAUGUUCAACCUGGCUGCAACAACAAUUUUUCUCUGCCAGCUUACCCAUCGCUACCGAUAAUUCAGACUCCGCAAAUUAUGGUAGCUACCUUAUCCUCACCGUAGAACAUGGAGAUCGCUGCUCUGACGACAGCAACUCUCACUUACGGACGGGGGUUGGCGAUGCUGCGUCGAAGAAGAUGAAGCCAAGGAAGAAGUAGAGCGAAACGACGUAUCCAAAGGUCAAGGUGGCCAUCUAUAUCCAUCGGUUCCUUUUUCUCUUUUCACAUACAGUAUUACACGCAUCGCGGAGAUCAGAGGAGCUGCGACGAGCCCCCCGCAGUAGUUG
This 940-nucleotide unclassified non-coding RNA is filed under the name Neodiprion pinetum (white pine sawfly). RNAcentral's name for it is "uncharacterized LOC124212815, transcript variant X2". The record is from RNAcentral. Lineage: Eukaryota; Metazoa; Arthropoda; Insecta; Hymenoptera; Diprionidae.